This 1253-nucleotide ribosomal RNA is filed under the name Klebsiella pneumoniae. Its description in RNAcentral is "partial 23S ribosomal RNA". It matches the Rfam family "Bacterial large subunit ribosomal RNA", at positions 398 to 1656 of the family's 2925-position model. Lineage: Bacteria; Pseudomonadati; Pseudomonadota; Gammaproteobacteria; Enterobacterales; Enterobacteriaceae. The record is from RNAcentral.
UGUGAACUCGAAGAGUAGGGCGGGACACGUGGUAUCCUGUCUGAAUAUGGGGGGACCAUCCUCCAAGGCUAAAUACUCCUGACUGACCGAUAGUGAACCAGUACCGUGAGGGAAAGGCGAAAAGAACCCCGGCGAGGGGAGUGAAAAAGAACCUGAAACCGUGUACGUACAAGCAGUGGGAGCACCUUCGGGUGUGACUGCGUACCUUUUGUAUAAUGGGUCAGCGACUUAUAUUCUGUAGCAAGGUUAACCGUAUAGGGGAGCCGCAGGGAAACCGAGUCUUAACUGGGCGUUAAGUUGCAGGGUAUAGACCCGAAACCCGGUGAUCUAGCCAUGGGCAGGUUGAAGGUUGGGUAACACUAACUGGAGGACCGAACCGACUAAUGUUGAAAAAUUAGCGGAUGACUUGUGGCUGGGGGUGAAAGGCCAAUCAAACCGGGAGAUAGCUGGUUCUCCCCGAAAGCUAUUUAGGUAGCGCCUCGUGAAUUCAUCUUCGGGGGUAGAGCACUGUUUCGGCUAGGGGGUCAUCCCGACUUACCAACCCGAUGCAAACUACGAAUACCGAAGAAUGUUAUCACGGGAGACACACGGCGGGUGCUAACGUCCGUCGUGAAGAGGGAAACAACCCAGACCGCCAGCUAAGGUCCCAAAGUCAUGGUUAAGUGGGAAACGAUGUGGGAAGGCACAGACAGCCAGGAUGUUGGCUUAGAAGCAGCCAUCAUUUAAAGAAAGCGUAAUAGCUCACUGGUCGAGUCGGCCUGCGCGGAAGAUGUAACGGGGCUAAACCAUGCACCGAAGCUGCGGCAGCGACACUAUGUGUUGUUGGGUAGGGGAGCGUUCUGUAAGCCUGCGAAGGUGUGCUGUGAGGCAUGCUGGAGGUAUCAGAAGUGCGAAUGCUGACAUAAGUAACGAUAAAGCGGGUGAAAAGCCCGCUCGCCGGAAGACCAAGGGUUCCUGUCCAACGUUAAUCGGGGCAGGGUGAGUCGACCCCUAAGGCGAGGCCGAAAGGCGUAGUCGAUGGGAAACAGGUUAAUAUUCCUGUACUUGGUGUUACUGCGAAGGGGGGACGGAGAAGGCUAUGUUAGCCGGGCGACGGUUGUCCCGGUUUAAGCAUGUAGGCUGGUUAUCCAGGCAAAUCCGGAUAAUCAAGGCUGAGGUGUGAUGACGAGGCACUACGGUGCUGAAGUAACAAAUGCCCUGCUUCCAGGAAAAGCCUCUAAGCAUCAGGUAACAUCAAAUCGUACCCCAAACCG